This 253-nucleotide ribosomal RNA is filed under the name uncultured bacterium. RNAcentral's name for it is "partial 16S ribosomal RNA". It matches the Rfam family "Bacterial small subunit ribosomal RNA", at positions 524 to 776 of the family's 1533-position model. The record is from RNAcentral.
UACGGGGGGGGCAAGCGUUGUUCGGAAUUACUGGGCGUAAAGGGCUCGUAGGCGGCCAACUAAGUCAGACGUGAAAUCCCUCGGCUUAACCGGGGAACUGCAUCUGAUACUGGAUGGCUUGAGUUCGGGAGAGGGAUGCGGAAUUCCAGGUGUAGCGGUGAAAUGCGUAGAUAUCUGGAGGAACACCGGUGGCGAAGGCGGCAUCCUGGACCGACACUGACGCUGAGGCGCGAAAGCUAGGGGAGCAAACGGG